CGCGGUCGCGCCGCUGUUCGACGGCAUCGCGGUGACGGGCAGUGCGGGCGAACGCGCGUUGAUCGACGCGGUGUGCGAACGCGCCGGGCCGCGC
This 94-nucleotide transfer RNA is filed under the name Burkholderia cepacia. RNAcentral's name for it is "tRNA-Arg(acg)". Lineage: Bacteria; Pseudomonadati; Pseudomonadota; Betaproteobacteria; Burkholderiales; Burkholderiaceae. The record is from RNAcentral.